Molecule: RNA transcript, 924 nt
Organism: Sapajus apella (tufted capuchin)
Lineage: Eukaryota; Metazoa; Chordata; Mammalia; Primates; Cebidae
Gene name: 60S ribosomal protein L10a pseudogene
Exons: 3
Source: RefSeq, a predicted model, not a curated record
AUGGAGAACUACGGCAGAAGUGCCUUUGGGGUCUCCCAUAAGGAAAAAAGAAUACCUGCUGGCACUGCUAGUCAGCAGCCUGCUGGAGAAAAUUUUGAAAUCCUUGUGAACCAAUUAGCUCCUGUUUUCAGCAUGAAGCCUGCUAUUCCUUCGAAGCCCCUUCAGAAUUUAGAUGUUCCUGCCAGCAAGGAAGGAGACCUUGGGAAGGCAGCCAAUGAGGAGAAGCCACGAGCAGCAGUCUCUCGCGACACCCUGUACGAGGCGGUGCGGGAAGUCCUGCACGGGAACCAGCGCAAGCGCCGCAAGUUCCAGGAGACGGUGGAGUUGCAGAUCAGUUUGAAGAACUAUGACCCCCAGAAGGACAAGCGUUUCUCGGGCACCGUCAGGCUUAAGUCCACUCCUCGCCCCAAGUUCUCUGUGUGUGUCCUGGGGGACCAGCAGCACUGUGACGAGGCCAAGGCCGUGGAUAUCCCCCACAUGGACAUCGAGGCGCUGAAAAAACUCAACAAGAAUAAAAAACUGGUCAAGAAGCUGGCCAAGAAGUAUGAUGCAUUUUUGGCCUCAGAGUCUCUGAUCAAGCAGAUUCCACGAAUCCUCCGGCCCAGGCCUAAAUAAGGCGGGAAAGUUCCCCUCCCUGCUCACACACAAUGAAAACAUGGUGGCCAAAGUGGAUGAGGUGAAGUCCACGAUCAAGUUCCAAAUGAAGAAGGUGUUAUGUCUGGCUGUGGCUGUUGGUCACGUGAAGAUGACAGACGAUGAGCUUGUGUAUAACAUUCACCUGGCUGUCAAUUUCUUGGUGUCGUUGCUCAAGAAAAACUGGCAGAAUGUCCGGGCCUUAUAUAUCAAGAGCACCAUGGGCAAGCCCCAGCGCCUAUAUUAAGGCACAUUUGAAUAAAUUCUAUUACCAGUAAAAAAAAAAAAAAA